This is a long non-coding RNA of Ornithorhynchus anatinus (platypus), 775 nucleotides long. RefSeq lists it as uncharacterized. The transcript has 2 exons. The record is from RefSeq and is a predicted model, not a curated record. Lineage: Eukaryota; Metazoa; Chordata; Mammalia; Monotremata; Ornithorhynchidae.
UCGUCUCUACCCGUUGCCCAACUGUACUUUCCAAACGUUUAGUACAGUGCUCUGCACGCAGGAAGCGCUCAACCCGGUACGACUGAACUGAACGCAUGAGGGCUACCUCCAGGUCUAUACUGUCGGCGCUCAGAACGGUUCUUGGCACACGACCGUGAGCCCGUGGUUGGGGAGGGACCGUCGGUCUCUGUUGCCAAGGCGUACUUUCCAAGCGGUCGGUCCAGUGCUCCGCUCACAGGAGGCGCUCAAUGAAUACCGCCGAAUGAAUGGACGACAGCCAGGCGGGACUGAAAAGCCACGGUUCAGAAACGGAAGCCGCCGCCGCCAUCCGGGAAUCGAGGGGCCCGAGGUCGAAGGGGGGAUAAAUUAUUAUCAUUACUAUUCGACGUGGAAAAACGACCCAAAAAACACGAGACAUCGGAUGGACAGAGAGUGAGGAACAAAAACGACAACACGACGGAAAACCUCAAACCAGGCGAGACCGCCCGCAGAUCUGAAAGUCGCCUUUCCAAGAGAAAGCGAAAACUCGCCAUUAAAAAUAACAGCACGCGCUUACUGGGUCACGUGCCAGCUCUUCUUUCGUUCCUUCCUUCGGCGGUAUCUGUCGAGCGCUCGCCGUGGGCAGGGCACCGUACCAAGCGCUCGGAGAGUACAGCUGGGCGAUAAAGAGAGACGAUCGCUCCCACGCUGGGCUCGGGGUUCGGAACGGGGGGAGGCAGACAUCACAACAGGUAAACGGGCAUCGUCAGAGUCAAUAUAAAUAAGUAGAAUUAGA